RNAcentral lists this ribosomal RNA (269 nucleotides) under uncultured bacterium. Its description in RNAcentral is "partial 16S ribosomal RNA". It matches the Rfam family "Bacterial small subunit ribosomal RNA", at positions 528 to 776 of the family's 1533-position model. The record is from RNAcentral.
GAGGGUGCGAGCGUUGUCCGGAAUCACUGGGCGUAAAGGGCGCGUAGGUGGCUACUCAAGCGCGCGGUGAAAGCCCGGGGCUCAACCACGGGUCGGCCGUGCGGACUGGGAGGCUCGAGCACUGUAGGGGCGGGUGGAAUUCCGGGUGUAGCGGUGGAAUGCGUAGAGAUCCGGAAGAACACCGGUGGCGAAGGCGGCCCGCUGGGCAGGAAGGGGUGGGUAACCACCCCGGCUGACACUGAGGCGCGACAGCGUGGGGAGCAAACAGG